CCUACGGGUGGCAGCAGUGAGGAAUAUUGGUCAAUGGGCGCGAGCCUGAACCAGCCAAGUAGCGUGAAGGAUGACUGCCCUACGGGUUGUAAACUUCUUUUAUAAAGGAAUAAAGUGAGGCACGUGUGCCUUUUUUUAUGUACUUUAUGAAAAAGGAUCGGCUAACUCCGUGCCAGCAGCCGCGGUAAUACGGAGGAUCCGAGCGUUUUGCGGAUUUAUUGGGUUUAAAGGGAGCGUAGAUGGGUUGUGAAGUCAGUCGUGAAAGUUUGCGGCUCAACCGUAAAAUUGCAAUUGAUACUGGCAGCCUUGAGUACAUGUGAGGUAGGCGGAAUUCGUGGUGUAGCGGUGAAAUGCUUAGAUAUCACGAAGAACUCCGAUUGCGAAGGCAGCUUACUAAACUGCCACUGACAUUGAUGCUCGAAAGUGUGGGUAUCAAACAGGAUUAGAUACCCCGGUAGUC
This 460-nucleotide ribosomal RNA is filed under the name uncultured bacterium. RNAcentral's name for it is "partial 16S ribosomal RNA". It matches the Rfam family "Bacterial small subunit ribosomal RNA", at positions 338 to 795 of the family's 1533-position model. The record is from RNAcentral.